Molecule: long non-coding RNA, 2741 nt
Organism: Bacillus rossius redtenbacheri
Lineage: Eukaryota; Metazoa; Arthropoda; Insecta; Phasmatodea; Bacillidae
Exons: 2
Source: RefSeq, a predicted model, not a curated record
CUAAAAUUAACUGAUUUCACGAAUAGGUAUAUGUUAUGAUUCUAAAUAAUUUGAUUCGUUCACGUUUACCGCCCACCAGAUUUCACUGUCUCCAGCGACAUUGCACUUGGUACAGAACAUUCCUGGACCUUGUAAGAUCACUGCACUCAGUGCAAAUCAUGUAGAGUGGCUGGAACAUCGAGUUCAGGCCAGUGCAGAUACUGGAGUUCGCUGUAGGGUUGGUGCACUUCAAAUAUUGAAUUUAUCUAGUAUUGAAAAUGUUUAUUGGAAAGCAUUUCACACAUGUCCAUUAACUACAUUGUUUGUUAAUUGCUGUAAUAAAUAACCAUUAAUUUUAUUUUAUAUGUUGGUUUCGUUUUGUUUAUUUUACGAAAAGUAAACUGUUUAAAAUUUAUUUGUGAUCAUUGAAGUUUUAUUAGUAAUGUUUGUGUUGGCUUAUGUUUAGAAUUAUGUUUCCUUUAGUUUCACCAAAUGUUGCUUAAUGCAUUUCAAAAAACUAAUGUCAUAGUUUUCAGUACACACUAGACCCAGAGAUAAGUAAAUGGACCAGAUGGAACAUAACCGAUACUUCUUGAAGCUGGCAUUCACUAAGCAAUAUGGCGCCUAUGUAGCUGAGAAAUUGUUUACAUGAACAGCUGUUUUAAACAACAAACACACGUUUGUUGUUAUACUUCUAAAACCAUUAAAAUCAUUAAAAUAAUGAUUUUGAACGGUUAAUUAGGUUAGUAUAGCUACAUUAAAAAAAUUGGGAGAUUGUGUGAAUAGUUUGUUAGGUCAGGAUAGCUACAUAUUAAAUUAGAAAUUCCUAAGGAACCAUAAAAUUAUUUGACAGUAUUUUUAAUGUAGCUAUACUAACCUUUAUGUAACCAACCAUCCACAAUUUUGUAAAGUAGGUAUUUAUAAUGUAGCUAACCUAAUCUAAUCGACCAUUAGUUAUCAUGAGUUUGUUCUAAACAAACAUACACGGUUACAUGGCAAAAAUAAAUGGCUCCGUCCGCACCAAUGCACAGCACGACUUGGGCUCUGCUGGAUACUUAGAAACUUGAGUCGUGUCGAAGGUUGACUUCGCUCCUGCAGCUCCUUCCACGAACACAUCAGUGAGUGGGCUCUUCCACGCAGGGCCCGAUCAAACCACAUUCAAUACUUCUUCCUUGCAUACUGCAGCUCUGUGCUCGAAACUGCUAAUUUACUAAAUGCUGUAAAACCUUGAAGUUUAAUUUUUCUGGAGGUUUUUCUAUUAAAUUUUGACUUUUUACACCAGAAUUCUGAAACUGAUGUCACUCAUGACUUUUCAUUUACUUUUGAAGCUCAGGAAAGAAUUGUAUGUCAGACUCACAAUCCCUGUGCCUACUCAUGUAUUAUUUGUUACCCCGAAGAGUUGCAGCACAGGGAUUUUUUUUAAUGAUUCCUAUUGUUAUGUGAUGAUGUACGGCAAUGUGUGAUUGACAUGUGUACCAAAAACCACGACAUACACAAAGAAGCUUAGUGAGGUGGAGCAUGUAAGAUAUCACUGUUGUUGUUGUACAAUUAUACUUGUGUUUAUAUAUGUGAGUGUGUUUGUAAAAUAAAGACACAUUAAAAAUGCUGACAAAGAACUAUCUCAUUUUCAUUGUGGGGACUGCUUGUUUUGUCAUCAAAUUGGUAAAACAUAUAAGAUAGCUUAUGUCAUUUGUUGCGUAUUUGGUGUCUGCUUGAGAUAUAAAAACUAAAAUAAACUUUGUUUAUAUCAGUUUUAUCACUACAGCUAAGCAUAUGAUAUUAAUCGUAAAGACAAUUUGAUGAGAAUGACUGCAAGUGUUGCACGUCCUUCGCUUUAACAUUACAAGUGUCAACAUCGGUUCAAAUAAAGUUAUACGUGUUUUGAAGAAACCACCUCAAUGCUUUCCUUAGAUCUUUUGCUAAUCUAAACAUAAUGUCAUAUUAUUCAAUUAUUCAAUUACCUAGGUAUCUGCACACAACAGGUUAAGUUAUACUUUUCCUUUAUUCAAAACAAAAGAUCACACAAAGAGGCCUCAUAUGCUUUCAACUUUUCUAUUGUAAUGCAAUGUCAUUAGGUAUAACUGGUAUUGCUGAUUAAAUUCUCACAUUAUUUAUUCAUAAUGCUUAAGAAUACAAUAUGUAAGGUCACAAUGCUCACCAUCUGAUACAUAUUGUCGUAUUGAUUAUAAUUCUGCUGUGACAGAUUUGCCUAAUACUUUGACCUAAGUAUACACCUACAUAAUCUAGACACCAUUUCUCAUAUAUUUGGUGCAGGAAAUAUAAAUUCAUACACAUAAUUGCAUAAUAUAAUAUACAACACCACAAAUUAAAAAAAAAAAACAGUCUAAAAUCUUUGGUUCAGUAGGACCUUAGUCAUUCAUGUACAAAUAUCUGCUAACAAAUGAGUUUAACAUGAUAAAGUUUAUAACAAUAAUUCAUCAAAUAUUAAUUGUGUAAGAACUAUGCAUAAGCAUAGGUACAUACAAUGUUCCUUAGUUGUACUGCUGUAGAAGUUCCAGGUAUUUAAGAAAAUAAAAUAUGACUAGAAGCGUGACUUUGUAUUAGUUUAUAAUCUAAACAAUUUCGUGGAUUUUAAUCUGUCUCUGAAAUCUCUGGAAAUUAUUCACAAUAUACAAAAUAUCAUGCACUCAAAAACCAAAAUUGAAGCUAUUUUGUAUUACAAGUUUCCCAUUGCUUGUGAAAUUUACUUGUACCUGUACUUUGGAAAAAUAAUAAAUGGUAUGUUUUUGAAAAAAAAAAAA